RNAcentral lists this ribosomal RNA (460 nucleotides) under uncultured bacterium. RNAcentral's name for it is "partial 16S ribosomal RNA". It matches the Rfam family "Bacterial small subunit ribosomal RNA", at positions 338 to 795 of the family's 1533-position model. The record is from RNAcentral.
CCUACGGGUGGCAGCAGUGAGGAAUAUUGGUCAAUGGGCGCGAGCCUGAACCAGCCAAGUCGCGUGAGGGAAGACGGCCCUACGGGUUGUAAACCUCUUUUGCCGGGGAGCAACGGGCGCCACGUGUGGCGCCACUGAGAGUACCCGGAGAAAAAGCAUCGGCUAACUCGGUGCCAGCGGCCGCGGAAAUACGGGGGAUGCGAGGUUUAUCCGGAUUUAUGGGGUUUAAGGGGUGCGUAGGCGGAGCGUUAAGUCGGGGGUAAAAUUGAGGGGUUAACCCCCUUCCCGCCAUUGAAACUGGCGCUCUUGAGUGGAAGAGAAGUAUGCGGAAUGUGUGGUGUAGCGGUGAAAUGCAUAGAGAUCACGCAGAACCCCGAUUGCGAAGGCAGCAUGCCGGCUUCCGACUGACGCUGAAGCACGAAAGCGUGGGGAUCGAACAGGAUUAGAUACCCGAGUAGUC